RNAcentral lists this ribosomal RNA (253 nucleotides) under uncultured bacterium. Its description in RNAcentral is "partial 16S ribosomal RNA". It matches the Rfam family "Bacterial small subunit ribosomal RNA", at positions 524 to 776 of the family's 1533-position model. The record is from RNAcentral.
UACGGGGGGGGCAAGCGUUGUUCGGAAUUACUGGGCGUAAAGGGCUCGUAGGCGGCCAACUAAGUCAGACGUGAAAUCCCUCGGCUUAACCGGGGAACUGCGUCUGAUACUGGAUGGCUUGAGAUUGGGAGAGGGAUGCGGAAUUCCAGGUGUAGCGGUGAAAUGCGUAGAUAUCUGGAGGAACACCGGUGGCGAAGGCGGCAUCCUGGACCAACACUGACGCUGAGUGAGCGAAAGCCAGGGAGCAAACGGG